UGAAGCUGGAGCUUGCUCCGGUGGAUUAGUGGCGAACGGGUGAGUAACACGUGAGCAAUCUGCCCUUGACUCUGGGAUAACUGCGGGAAACUGUAGCUAAUACCGGAUACGACCCUUGGAGGCAUCUCUGGGGGUGGAAAGAAUUUCGGUCAAGGAUGAGCUCGCGGCCUAUCAGCUAGUUGGUGAGGUAAUGGCUCACCAAGGCGACGACGGGUAGCCGGCCUGAGAGGGUGACCGGCCACACUGGAACUGAGACACGGUCCAGACUCCUACGGGAGGCAGCAGUGGGGAAUAUUGCGCAAUGGGCGAAAGCCUGAUGCAGCAACGCCGCGUGAGGGAUGAAGGCCUUCGGGUUGUAAACCUCUUUUAGCAGGGAAGAAGCGAAAGUGACGGUACCUGCAGAAAAAGCACCGGCUAACUACGUGCCAGCAGCCGCGGUAAUACGUAGGGUGCAAGCGUUGUCCGGAAUUAUUGGGCGUAAAGAGCUCGUAGGCGGUUUGUCGCGUCUGCUGUGAAAAUCCGAGGCUCAACCUCGGACCUGCAGUGGGUACGGGCAAACUAGAGUGCGGUAGGGGAGAUGGGAAUUCCUGGUGUAGCGGUGGAAUGCGCAGAUAUCAGGAGGAACACCGAUGGCGAAGGCACAUCUCUGGGCCGUAACUGACGCUGAGGAGCGAAAGCGUGGGGAGCGAACAGGAUUAGA
RNAcentral lists this ribosomal RNA (700 nucleotides) under uncultured Actinomycetes bacterium. RNAcentral describes it as "bacterial SSU rRNA". It matches the Rfam family "Bacterial small subunit ribosomal RNA", at positions 68 to 782 of the family's 1533-position model. Lineage: Bacteria; Bacillati; Actinomycetota; Actinomycetes. The record is from RNAcentral.